Eucalyptus grandis is the source of this 171-nucleotide long non-coding RNA. RefSeq lists it as uncharacterized. Lineage: Eukaryota; Viridiplantae; Streptophyta; Magnoliopsida; Myrtales; Myrtaceae. The record is from RefSeq and is a predicted model, not a curated record. The transcript is spliced from 3 exons.
CAAGCGGCAAAGGAAAUCUAUCUCAAGGAAUGGGAUCCACAGCGUAAUUCUCUGCCUGAUUGCAGUAAUGUUGACAGGCUGCGAGAUUUUAUUAAGCAUGUCUAUGUGGACAAAAGAUAUUCAGGUGAUAGGAGUUUUGAUAGACCUCCAAGGGUGAAGAGUGACAGAAGA